AUUGAACGCUGGCGGCAUGCCUUACACAUGCAAGUCGAACGGCAGCACGGGAGCAAUCCUGGUGGCGAGUGGCGAACGGGUGAGUAAUAUAUCGGAACGUGCCCAGUCGUGGGGAUAACGUAGCGAAAGCUACGCUAAUACCGCAUACGAUCUAUGGAUGAAAGCGGGGGAUCGCAAGACCUCGCGCGAUUGGAGCGGCCGAUAUCAGAUUAGGUAGUUGGUGAGGUAAAGGCUCGCCAAGCCGACGAUCUGUAGCUGGUCUGAGAGGACGACCAGCCACACUGGGACUGAGACACGGCCCAGACUCCUACGGGAGGCAGCAGUGGGGAAUUUUUGGACAAUGGCGCAAGCCUGAUCCAGCAAUGCCGCGUGCAGGAUGAAGGCCUUCGGGUUGUAACGUAGCUUUU
RNAcentral lists this ribosomal RNA (407 nucleotides) under uncultured bacterium. RNAcentral describes it as "bacterial SSU rRNA". It matches the Rfam family "Bacterial small subunit ribosomal RNA", at positions 30 to 437 of the family's 1533-position model. The record is from RNAcentral.